GAUGAACGCUGGCGGCGUGCCUAAUACAUGCAAGUCGAGCGAACAGAUAAGGAGCUUGCUCCUUUGACGUUAGCGGCGGACGGGUGAGUAACACGUGGGUAACCUACCUAUAAGACUGGGAUAACUUCGGGAAACCGGAGCUAAUACCGGAUAACAUUUGGAACCGCAUGGUUCUAAAGUGAAAGAUGGUUUUGCUAUCACUUAUAGAUGGACCCGCGCCGUAUUAGCUAGUUGGUAAGGUAACGGCUUACCAAGGCAACGAUACGUAGCCGACCUGAGAGGGUGAUCGGCCACACUGGAUCUGAGACACGGUCCAGACUCCUACGGGAGGCAGCAGUAGGGAAUCUUCCGCAAUGGGCGAAAGCCUGACGGAGCAACGCCGCGUGAGUGAUGAAGGGUUUCGGCUCGUAAAACUCUGUUAUUAGGGAAGAACAAACGUGUAAGUAACUGUGCACGUCUUGACGGUACCUAAUCAGAAAGCCACGGCUAACUACGUG
This 497-nucleotide ribosomal RNA is filed under the name uncultured bacterium. Its description in RNAcentral is "partial 16S ribosomal RNA". It matches the Rfam family "Bacterial small subunit ribosomal RNA", at positions 28 to 507 of the family's 1533-position model. The record is from RNAcentral.